CGUGUAGGCGGUUUGUCAAGUCGGGUGUGAAAGCCUGGGGCUCAGCCCCAGAAGUGCAUCCGAAACUAGCGAGCUAGAGCGCGAUAGAGGAGGGUGGAAUUCCUGGUGUAGCGGUGAAAUGCGUAGAUAUCAGGAGGAACACCGGCGGCGAAGGCGGCCCUCUGGAUCGUUGCUGACGCUGAGACGCGAAAGCGUGGGGAGCAAACAGGAUUAGAUACCCUGGUAGUCCACGCCUUAAACGAUGGGUACUAGGUGUUCGGGGUGUUGACCCCCUGAGUGCCGCAGUUAACGCAUUAAGUACCCCCGCCUGGGGACUACGGCCGCAAGGUUAA
This 332-nucleotide ribosomal RNA is filed under the name uncultured bacterium. RNAcentral describes it as "bacterial SSU rRNA". It matches the Rfam family "Bacterial small subunit ribosomal RNA", at positions 568 to 897 of the family's 1533-position model. The record is from RNAcentral.